Molecule: ribosomal RNA, 429 nt
Filed under: Chloroflexota bacterium
Lineage: Bacteria; Bacillati; Chloroflexota
Description: Chloroflexi bacterium partial 16S ribosomal RNA
Rfam family: Bacterial small subunit ribosomal RNA
Source: RNAcentral
UAGGGAAUCUUCGGCAAUGGACGAAAGUCUGACCGAGCAACGCCGCGUGAGUGAAGAAGGUUUUCGGAUCGUAAAACUCUGUUGUUAGAGAAGAACAAGGACGUUAGUAACUGAACGUCACCUGACGGUAUCUAACCAGAAAGCCACGGCUAACUACGUGCCAGCAGCCGCGGUAAUACGUAGGUGGCAAGCGUUGACCGGAUUUAUUGGGCGUAAAGCGAGCGCAGGCGGUUUGUUAAGUCAGAUGUGAAAUCCCCGUGCUCAACCUGGGAACUGCAUCUGAUACUGGAAAGCUUGAGUCUCGUAGAGGGCGGUAGAAUUCCAGGUGUAGCGGUGAAAUGCGUAGAGAUCUGGAGGAAUACCGGUGGCGAAGGCGGCCCCCUGGACGAAGACUGACGCUCAGGUGCGAAAGCGUGGGGAGCAAACAGG